Molecule: ribosomal RNA, 424 nt
Filed under: uncultured bacterium
Lineage: Bacteria
Description: partial 16S ribosomal RNA
Rfam family: Bacterial small subunit ribosomal RNA
Source: RNAcentral
AAUUUUGGACAAUGGGGGAAACCCUGAUCCAGCAAUCCAUCGUGUAUGAUGAAGGCCUUCGGGUUGUAAAGUACUUUUGGCAGAGAAGUAAAGGUAUCACCUAAGACGGGAUACUGCUGACGGUAGCAGAUGAAUAAGCACCGGCUAACUCCGUGAUAGCAGCCGCGGUAAUAUGUAGGGUGCAAGCGUUAAUCGGAAGUACUGGGCGUAAAGCGUGUGUAGGCGGUUCAGAAAUAAAGAUGUGAAAUCCCAGGGCUCAACCUUGGAACUGCAUUUUUAACUGCCGAGCUAGAGUAUGUCAGAGGGGGGUAGAAUUCCACGUGUAGCAGUGAAAUGCGUAGAUAUGUGGAGGAAUACCGAUGGCGAAGGCAGCCCCCUGGGAUAAUACUGACGCUCAGACACGAAAGCGUGGGAAGCAAACAGG